ACAUGUGUUCUUGGAAAAUGGUGCAUAACUCGAAUUCGCAUAAAGGGAACUCACUUUACAAUCGAACAAAUAGAGAUACAUUCCAAAACUUUGACUGUACUCACCCCGAGACUCAUUUCUACCACUUUUACAGGACAAUUUUGGUACUCAGUGACAGCAGACAAUACACAAAAGCACAGGGUGGUGGUGAAUCUUUAGUUGCUAUGAAGAAAGGAGGUGAA
This is a long non-coding RNA of Gavialis gangeticus (Gharial), 221 nucleotides long. RefSeq lists it as uncharacterized. Lineage: Eukaryota; Metazoa; Chordata; Crocodylia; Gavialidae. The transcript is spliced from 5 exons. The record is from RefSeq and is a predicted model, not a curated record.